AUCUUACCUUGCUAUGCGUGGGGGGAGGCUUGGUUGGCUUGACCGCUGUGGCUACGCGAGCGCAUGAGCUGUUUUGGACCCGUGUCUGCCGGUAGGCCCCCCGUCUUCGUGCGGCCGACUACCGGCGCCGUGUCCCGUCAUUCGUGUGGCUUAUGUUACUGUUGCCUUUCAAGUGCUUGCGUGCUGGUACCCGACCUACGGGAAGUGGUGCUUCGUACACGGUUGCCUCGCGGCGGACGCCUUCGGGUGUGCUGCCGYGGCCAAAUGGCGCGUGCGGCGUUGCCUCGUGGUGCUGGCAUGUUUGUGUGCCUGGUGCUAUCAAGGCAACCUCGCUCCCGCUGUUGGUUUCGGAUGUCGCUCACGAUAUAGGCUCAUGGCCCUUCUGGUUGCCUUGACCCGACCCUAGAGAUGCUCUCCUCGUUUGAGAACAACCGGAACAGGUGUUGCCUCUACCUCUCCACAGUUAGUGGUAGGAUACGCAACAUUCUGCGCCGAUCCUCGAACUAGUAGGACGAGCUUGGCCCGCUCAAUUGCGACAACCGGCCCGGMUGUUGCCUCUGCCUUGCCACGCAAGUGGACGGGCGAACAGCUACCGG
RNAcentral lists this unclassified non-coding RNA (596 nucleotides) under Scolochloa festucacea. Its description in RNAcentral is "contains 3' external transcribed spacer, ETS". The record is from RNAcentral. Lineage: Eukaryota; Viridiplantae; Streptophyta; Magnoliopsida; Poales; Poaceae.